GCAAAACUGAACCCUUCCUCUAUUCUUCAUGUUCAGACGCGGCACUACUGUGCCAUUAAUGUCACGGUACCGGUGCUGCAACGGUACUAUGGAGGGGAGGACACCCGCCCGGACUUCAGGCUGGGCACAGACGCCAUGCAGCACCUGAUGGUGGUCCUGAAGACUGACAGUCAGCACGGGUGGGGGCCGACCCUGGAGACACUCGUGUUCCUGUUCUGGCUGGCCACCGGUUCAGCCUACCGAGUUGUCUCCAGGGUCUUCUGUAUGCCUCUACCUACGGUGGUGACGGCGUGUGUAAUUUUACACAACAUUUGUGUUGGUGUUGGGGAUGAGCUGGAAGAGGCUGUGGAGGACAAUGACAACCAGCUACCUCUGGAGCGCGAUGGUGGGGAGAGCCGGAGUGGAGCUGCUUGGCGAGCCGCGCUGACCAACGAGGUGUCUGCAUUUCAUGAGGCACCUCUGGAUCUCGAAUAUUUUUCCCAGGCUCUGGUUUGUGACUCAGAUGCUGAGGGAAACACACAGACUCGGGGAGGCAGUUGAAGUGUUUAUUCACACAACCGGAAUCAAACAGAGGGAUUGUUCAGGGUUGAGUGGUUCCAGGAGGCGAGCGGCGAGGAGAGUUGAAUGGCGAAGUGAGCAGGCAGCAGGCGAGCAGGCAGCAAUUGAAGCUGUGUGGCAAGGUGAGCAGGCAGCAGGUGAACAGGCAGCAAUGUCAGAGCGGAAUCUGGACAGAGAAGAUGCUGUUUAACAAGGGCACACUGAAAUUGUCUAGAACGCAUAGGGACUAGGAUGUCUGAGGGUUUGCAGAACCAAGUUACCACAGGUAAUGUUGUAACGGAGUGGCGCUGAAGAGGUGAACAGCCCAGGUUGAUAUCUGCUGGUU
Esox lucius (northern pike) is the source of this 883-nucleotide long non-coding RNA. The record is from Ensembl. Lineage: Eukaryota; Metazoa; Chordata; Actinopteri; Esociformes; Esocidae.